GCCCGACUUGGACCAGCCGCUGGAGUUGCCGUCGUUGAAGUCGUCGGAGAAGAGGGUCGCGGCGUACGCGGCCCCGGUCAGGCC
This 84-nucleotide transfer RNA is filed under the name Phytohabitans suffuscus. RNAcentral's name for it is "tRNA-Phe". The record is from RNAcentral. Lineage: Bacteria; Bacillati; Actinomycetota; Actinomycetes; Micromonosporales; Micromonosporaceae.